Molecule: non-coding RNA, 78 nt
Organism: Schistosoma haematobium
Lineage: Eukaryota; Metazoa; Platyhelminthes; Trematoda; Strigeidida; Schistosomatidae
Source: Rfam
AGCCUUUUUAAUCCAUGCAGAGAUUUUACCAGACACCAACCCAUAAGAGUUGAUCAGACUUUCAAGAUAAGUGAAGUU